Molecule: ribosomal RNA, 373 nt
Filed under: uncultured prokaryote
Description: bacterial SSU rRNA
Rfam family: Bacterial small subunit ribosomal RNA
Source: RNAcentral
UACGGAGGGUGCAAGCGUUGUUCGGAAUUACUGGGCGUAAAGGGCGUGUAGGCGGUAAUGUAAGUCAGACGUGAAAUCCUUCGGCUCAACUGAAGAACUGCGUCUGAUACUGCAUGACUAGAGUGCAGAAGAGGGAAACGGAAUUCCUGGUGUAGAGGUGAAAUUCGUAGAUAUCAGGAGGAACACCGGUGGCGAAGGCGGUUUCCUGGUCUGACACUGACGCUGAGGCGCGAAAGCGUGGGGAGCAAACAGGAUUAGAUACCCUGGUAGUCCACGCUGUAAACGGUGGGUACUGGGUGUGGGAGGUGUAAUGCCUUCUGUGCCGAAGCUAACGCGUUAAGUACCCCGCCUGGGGAGUACGGCCGCAAGGUUG